RNAcentral lists this transfer RNA (109 nucleotides) under Candidatus Bathyarchaeota archaeon. RNAcentral describes it as "tRNA-OTHER". It matches the Rfam family "tRNA". From Rfam's summary of the family: Transfer RNA (tRNA) molecules are approximately 80 nucleotides in length. Their secondary structure includes four short double-helical elements and three loops (D, anti-codon, and T loops). Lineage: Archaea; Thermoproteati; Candidatus Bathyarchaeota. RNAcentral also lists the same sequence under 1 other name. The record is from RNAcentral.
GCUCCGGUGGUGUAGCCCGGUUAAGCAUAGCGGCCUUAUCUUAAGGCUUAAAAGCCUUAGAGGCCAAUCGAGCCGCUGAUCGCGGGUUCAAAUCCCGCCCGGAGCACCA